CCCUGGUCAGCUCACUUGGUAGAGCGCUCCACUGGAAAUGAAGAAAUCUCGGGUUCGAUACGCGGACCAGGCG
Molecule: transfer RNA, 73 nt
Filed under: Ixodes scapularis (black-legged tick)
Lineage: Eukaryota; Metazoa; Arthropoda; Arachnida; Ixodida; Ixodidae
Description: tRNA-Ser for anticodon GGA
Rfam family: tRNA
About the family: Transfer RNA (tRNA) molecules are approximately 80 nucleotides in length. Their secondary structure includes four short double-helical elements and three loops (D, anti-codon, and T loops).
Source: Rfam by way of RNAcentral